Molecule: long non-coding RNA, 918 nt
Filed under: Chloebia gouldiae (Gouldian finch)
Lineage: Eukaryota; Metazoa; Chordata; Aves; Passeriformes; Passeridae
Description: Erythrura gouldiae (Gouldian finch) lncRNA (ENSEGOG00005004399.1)
Source: RNAcentral
UAAACAGAAAUUAAUCUCCGGCCCAGAUAGGCCGGGAUUCGGCUCACCUGCGGCGCCCGUCGCCUGGACCCGGAGGAGGUGCCGGCUGUCUGGAAAACAAGGGAUGAGAAAACCGAGGGAUUUUCUGCAGGCUUGAUGUAACCCGCAGCAGGCUGUUGCAUCAAAGACUAGAAAAAGAACCCGAGACAAAAAUAAUCUUUUAAGAGCAUGCAGCUAAGAUUAGAGCAGCGUGUCAAGAUGUUGCUGAGCGCAACAGAACGAGUCCUGCCUGUACCCACACAGAAAUAAAUACUAUUUUUCUGGCACCUUGUCCACUGCAACCCUGAGUUUCCAAAUUUUAUACCAAAGUGCUGAUUAGGGGCAGCAAACCGAGUAAGGAAUGUGUCAGGGACUAUGAGAACAUUCCCAUUCCUUGUGUUUCUACGUGAAAUGCAUUUCUAGCCACACCCAUAAAGGACUUGUCUCUCCUGACAGUACACAGUGGGCACCGAUUUGCUUCCUCAAGAUUUCAUAGUGUGCAUCUGAGGACUUGGGCUGCGCGCCGUAAAGUUUCCCUCGGCAACUGCUAAAAUUAUUCAGAAGGCACUGCAGCGUGGCAGCAGCUAUCAGCUUUGGAACGCAGGCAAUCAGCGUGUACACUGGAGCACUUUUCUGGACGCGGGAAGCUCCCAGACAAAUAUUUGCAGCCCAUUUUGUGAGCACGGGACAGCAGAAGGGUUGCUUGAGGACGGUCCAAAUCCUAAUGCGUCUAUCAAAGCCAGCUUGCUGUCUGUGCCAUCACUAACCUGGUUUGCAUCUCGCUGGAGAACACGCAGAAAAAAAGAGAAGAAAAGGCAGUCUCGUGUUUCUAUUUGCAAGCUGGAUUGGUCACUCCUCAGUUAUCAGCUAGAGAGUCACAGGACCUUUUUAGGACCAUGA